This 433-nucleotide ribosomal RNA is filed under the name uncultured bacterium. Its description in RNAcentral is "partial 16S ribosomal RNA". It matches the Rfam family "Bacterial small subunit ribosomal RNA", at positions 29 to 507 of the family's 1533-position model. The record is from RNAcentral.
AACGAACGCUGGCGGCAGGCCUAACACAUGCAAGUCGAGCGGACCCUUCGGGGUUAGCGGCGGACGGGUGAGUAACGCGUGGGAAUAUGCCCUUCUCUACGGAAUAGUCCUGGGAAACUGGGGGUAAUACCGUAUACGCCCUUUGGGGGAAAGGUUUAUCGGGGAAGGAUUAGCCCGCGUUGGAUUAGGUAGUUGGUGGGGUAAUGGCCUACCAAGCCGACGAUCCAUAGCUGGUUUGAGAGGAUGAUCAGCCACACUGGGACUGAGACACGGCCCAGACUCCUACGGGAGGCAGCAGUGGGGAAUCUUAGACAAUGGGGGCAACCCUGAUCUAGCCAUGCCGCGCGAGUGAUGAAGGCCUUAGGGUUGUAAAGCUCUUUCAGCUGGGAAGAUAAUGACGGUACCAGCAGAAGAAGCCCCGGCUAACUCCGUG